UGCGGUGACAUUACGUGCCGGGAAACACCCGUUCCCAUUCCGAACACGGCAGUUAAGUCGGCACGGCCGAGGGUAGUCGCAAGGCGAGAUUAGGUGAUUGCCGCGA
RNAcentral lists this ribosomal RNA (106 nucleotides) under Planctomycetota bacterium. The record is from RNAcentral. Lineage: Bacteria; Pseudomonadati; Planctomycetota.